Molecule: transfer RNA, 89 nt
Filed under: Prochloron sp. SP5CPC1
Lineage: Bacteria; Bacillati; Cyanobacteriota; Cyanophyceae; Chroococcales; Prochloraceae
Description: tRNA-Ser
Rfam family: tRNA
About the family: Transfer RNA (tRNA) molecules are approximately 80 nucleotides in length.
Source: RNAcentral
GGAGAGGUGGCUGAGUGGUCGAAAGCGGCACACUGCUAAUGUGUUAGUCCCCUUGCGGGGGCUCGAGGGUUCGAAUCCCUCCCUCUCCG